GAUGAAGAACGUAGCGAAAUGCGAUACGUAAUGUGAAUUGCAAAUUCAGUGAAUCAUCGAGUCUUUGAACGCACAUUGCGCCCCCUGGUAUUCCGGGGGGCAUGCCUGUCCGAGCGUCAUUGCUGCCCUCAAGCACGGCUUGUGUGUUGGGCCCCGUCCUCCGAUCCCGGGGGACGGGCCCGAAAGGCAGCGGCGGCACCGCGUCCGGUCCUCGAGCGUAUGGGGCUUUGUCACCCGCUCUGUAGGCCCGGCCGGCGCUUGCCGAUCAACCCAAAUUUUUUAUCCAGGUUGACCUCGGAUCAGGAAGGGAUACCCGCUGAACUUAAGCAUAUCAAUAAGCGGAGGA
Molecule: unclassified non-coding RNA, 346 nt
Filed under: soil metagenome
Description: partial contains 5.8S ribosomal RNA, internal transcribed spacer 2, and large subunit ribosomal RNA
Rfam family: 5.8S ribosomal RNA (bases 1-119)
Source: RNAcentral